RNAcentral lists this ribosomal RNA (305 nucleotides) under uncultured bacterium. RNAcentral describes it as "bacterial SSU rRNA". It matches the Rfam family "Bacterial small subunit ribosomal RNA", at positions 334 to 656 of the family's 1533-position model. The record is from RNAcentral.
UGCCCCUACGGGGGGCAGCAGUGGGGAAUAUUGCACAAUGGGGGGAACCCUGAUGCAGCGACGCCGCGUGGGUGAAGGAGUACUUCGGUACGUAAAGCCCUAUCAGCAGGAAAGAAAAUGACGGUACCUGACUAAGAAGCCCCGGCUAACUACGUGCCAGCAGCCGCGGUAAUACGUAGGGGGCAAGCGUUAUCCGGAUUUACUGGGUGUAAAGGGAGCGUAGACGGCAGCGCAAGUCUGGAGUGAAAUGCCGGGGCCCAACCCCGGAACUGCUCUGGAAACUGUGAAGCUGGAGUGCAGGAGAG